Molecule: long non-coding RNA, 428 nt
Filed under: Androctonus crassicauda
Lineage: Eukaryota; Metazoa; Arthropoda; Arachnida; Scorpiones; Buthidae
Source: RNAcentral
CUGCAUACAGAGCUGCAGAAACAAUGACUUUUCUGCAUAAAUAUGGCUAUGAAACCUUUCCUCAUUCCCAAUUAUUCUCUUAAUUUAAUAUCUUCAGAUUUCUCCUUAUUUAGAAAUAUAAAAAAGUUUUUGAUGAUAAGGAAAUCAUUACUGCUGUGGAGAGCUAGUGUUCUUCCAAAUCUGCCAAUUUCUGCAAAGAUGGGUUUAAAUAACUGUUCAAUCAGGUGUGAGAAGUAUGUGGCCCUAGAACGUGAAUAUGUAGAGAAGUAACAUUUAAGGAUCUGAAAUUUGGUCCUCCAACACGUGUCAAAGACUAAAACUUUUUGGCCUCCUUUUAUAUUAUUGGUAUUUCUAAUCAAUGAAAAUUUGCUUGUGCAAUACUGAAUUAUUUUAUUGUGAAAGUGAGGCCCAGAGAAAUAUUUGGGAAA